CGCAUCUGUGCAUGCAGCAUAUCAAUAAGCGGAGGAAAAGAAACUAACAAGGAUUCCCCUAGUAACGGCGAGUGAAGCGGGAAGAGCUCAAAUUUGAAAUCUUAAAGGGUUUCCCUUUACGAAUUGUAGUUUAAAGAAGUGUUUUCUGUUGAGGUUUUGGUAAAAGUUCUUUGGAAUAGGACAUCAUAGAGGGUGAGAAUCCCGUAUUUGACCUUUACUUUCAACUUUGUGAUACACUUUCAAAGAGUCGGAUUGUUUGGGAAUGCAGUCCAAAAUGGGUGGUAAAUUUCAUCUAAAGCUAAAUAUUGGCGAGAGACCGAUAGCGAACAAGUACCGUGAGGGAAAGAUGAAAAGAACUUUGAAAAGAGAGUUAAACAGUACGUGAAAUUGUCAAAAGGGAAGCGUUUGACACCAGUGUUGUUUUUCUGAAAAUCAAUUAAAGAACUGUUUAUGCUAAGUUGUUUAGACUUAUCAGCUAUCUGCUUAGUUUUGAGCUUUUCUUUAAUGCACUUGUCAGUUAACAAGUCAACAUCAAUUUCUUUUGCUGUAAAAAAGCUUGAGGAAGGUGGCUUGAGAUUCGUCUUAAGUGUUUAUAGCCUCUUGCCUAUGCAGUCGGAGAGAUUGAGGUCUGCAGCGUAGAUCCUUCGGGGCUAAAUGCAUUUGUGCUAAGUUAUAGCAUUUUAUAGACAACUUGUUGACUAUGAUUUGUCUUGUAGCUUACUCGCUUAUGUUAUUUUACCUACGCUUAGGAUGUUGAGCGCAUGUCUCUCUCU
Molecule: ribosomal RNA, 773 nt
Filed under: uncultured Neocallimastigales
Lineage: Eukaryota; Fungi; Neocallimastigomycota; Neocallimastigomycetes; Neocallimastigales
Description: partial large subunit ribosomal RNA
Rfam family: Eukaryotic large subunit ribosomal RNA
Source: RNAcentral